This 609-nucleotide ribosomal RNA is filed under the name fungal endophyte. Its description in RNAcentral is "eukaryotic LSU rRNA". The stretch from base 194 to 347 matches the Rfam family "5.8S ribosomal RNA". Lineage: Eukaryota; Fungi. The record is from RNAcentral.
UUAAAAAUAGAGUCUAAAAGCUCUUGAACCCAUUGUGAACCUAAAAAAACUGUCAGUUGCUUCGGCGGGAGGCCCCUGGGAGGGGCCCCGGGGCCCGGCCUGAGCCGGGCUCCCGCCGGAGGAGCGCAAACCGAAAACUCUUUGUUAUCUCUAGUGGCAACUCCGAGUUAAAAUAUAAAAAAAAACAAGUUAAAACUUUCAACAACGGAUCUCUUGGUUCUGGCAUCGAUGAAGAACGCAGCGAAAUGCGAUAAGUAAUGUGAAUUGCAGAAUUCAGUGAAUCAUCGAAUCUUUGAACGCACAUUGCGCCCGCCAGUAUUCUGGCGGGCAUGCCUGUUCGAGCGUCAUUUCAACCCCUCAGGCCACCGCGCCUGGCGUCGGGGCGUUCCCUCCCCCCCGGAGGGAAGCCCCCAGAAACAGUGGCGGACCCGCCGCGGCUCCGAGCGCAGUAGUAAAAUUCUCGCUAUGGAGGUCCGCCGGCGGGCACCGGCCGUAAAACCCGCGGGCCCUUCUUUUGCGGCCCCGCACCCACAAGGUUGACCUCGGAUCAGGUAGGAAUACCCGCUGAACUUAAGCAUAUCAAUAAGCGGAGGAAAAGAAACCAACAGG